This 32-nucleotide non-coding RNA is filed under the name unclassified sequences. RNAcentral describes it as "L31-Firmicutes ribosomal protein leader". It matches the Rfam family "L31-Firmicutes ribosomal protein leader". The record is from RNAcentral.
CUAUGACUAAUUAUUAGUCAUGGCGGAAGGAG